CUCAAACCAUUUUUUUCCUAAACCUAAUUUCUUUCCAAACCUCAUCAACCCCUUUCUUCUUCUUUCUAUCAGCCGCCAAAACUCAACAACCACCAAAACUCUCACGCCUCCUCAUUCGAUCGACUCAACCCUCGUCUCUCAUUCUCUCACAUCUCCAUUUCUGAACGGUGGUUAGACUCAUUCAACCAUCUUCUUCAUUCAAUCUCACAACCAUGAAUACAAGCCAGCUUCGUCGUCUUCUUCUCGUCUUCGUAACUUCCGGCGCCGCUAGAUAACCACCACCAUCAUCGCCUUCGCUUGAAUCAAAGGUCUCGGAACACUAAUCACAUCCGAAGUACAUCAUUCCUCCAUUUCAACCGCGAUUUUGACUCUUAACACAAAACCCUAGGUUCUUUACGGACAGAAUUGAACAUUCACCGUCACAAAUUGAGCUCAAUUCCUUGGGGGUUCGAUUCACCAUAGCAUAAGCUUCGUGUUAGUGACAAGAACUAAGCAAAGCGGUGAAGUAAAGAAUGAGUUCGGCAAUUACCUAUCAGAGAUUAACAAAUGCAAUUUCGACAACGACGAAGAGAAAAAGAAAACCAGAUGCUCCGCCUUUCAGGGUAAACCAAGAAAUAACACACAGAGAUGAUGUAACUUUUUGGCUGAUACUUUGUCAAUAGGUUUCAUAGGAGAUGACAAGGAGACUUUUGAGACAUUUGAAUCUAUGGAGUUUAGACUACUCUUUUUCUAGUGGAACUGCUCAUUUACUUGCAAAGAUCUUGACUAUCAACAAACUCUAAGGGAACUCUAGUUAUCAUGGAAGACACACGGCAGUAACCAUUCCUCGGCCUAUAAAUCUCCAACCGAUUUCUGUGCCUUCGAUUAUAGUAAAUGAAUUGAAGUCUGUGACAGAUAGUUUUGGUACGAAGUCUUUCCUUGGUGAAGGUGCGUACGGGAAAGUAUAUCGCGCCAUGUUGAAAAUGGGACGUGAAACUGAACUCUGUUUGUCGAAAUCAUUUGGAUUUGCGGGUACAAAGGAUAAGUGUGCUGUUACGACCCAAAGGGUAAUCAAUUUUCUUAUUUUUCUAAUUUUGCAGUAUACAUUCAUUCCUUUCUUCAUUUUCUAUUGCGAUUGUUCAUUUAGAGACGGAUGCUUCAGUUGGUUUAUUUCUCAUA
Molecule: long non-coding RNA, 1158 nt
Organism: Vicia villosa (hairy vetch)
Lineage: Eukaryota; Viridiplantae; Streptophyta; Magnoliopsida; Fabales; Fabaceae
Exons: 5
Source: RefSeq, a predicted model, not a curated record